Long non-coding RNA from Melitaea cinxia (Glanville fritillary), 470 nucleotides. RefSeq lists it as uncharacterized. The transcript has 2 exons. Lineage: Eukaryota; Metazoa; Arthropoda; Insecta; Lepidoptera; Nymphalidae. The record is from RefSeq and is a predicted model, not a curated record.
UAUAAACAGACGGACAACGGUUAGACGUUCAAACGUAGAUAAGGAAAAGCGCUAAGUAGACGUUGUGCUCUGUGCAGGCGUGUAGCAAAAAAAUGGCAGAUAAAUGCGGCCGUGUCGACAAACCCGUUGAAUUGGAUGACCAGAUUAAAGAAAAAGUAGUCGCAGAAGAAAAAGCCGCAGAUAUCGAUAGCUCAAAAGUAAAUUCUUUCAGUCAGACUAAUUAUGUCGUAGUCCCGGACAAUUGUCUACCUGGACAACAACGAGGCGAAGAUGGAAUUUGCCGGGAUGUGUUUUAAACAACAGAUGAUUUCUUAAUAUUCUUUCGAGUUUUAAAUUUUCGGAUUAAUAAAUUAUAAAUAUUUUUAGAAAUAAAUAUGUACAUGUAUUAUUUAUUCUAUUGUGUUUUUGGACGCUGUUAUAAAAACUGAUUAUGAUUUAUUUAAAUCUAAUUAAAUUAAGAUAUCAUUCAA